CGUACUGUGCGGAGCAGGCUGGGAGGGACGACACAGUACCAGACGUCACACAGCAAGGCACUGUGUUCAAAGGGUGCCAUAAACUGUUGCUUUAUUUAACGUAUUUUCGCAGAACAAGACAGUGACAGGGGCCGUGGUGGCUGUCAGCGUGUGCUGGUGCAAGCUUGGUGCCUGCCGGGAGGUGCCAAGUGCAGUGCCACCAAGGCUAAUAUUGGUAAGAAACCGGCCCACCACUUGUCCAGCCAGCUAAUUUGCACAGUCUGAUGUAACAGGCGGUAACUGUGAUAGUGUUGUUACAUGUCACCCACAACAACAACACAGGGCUGUCAGAGGGACAAAAGAGAAAAGCAGGAAGACCACCACCACCACCACCACCACCAGCACAGUGGAAAAAAGGACUCACCAUAAUAAAUAAAUAAAAAUAGAAAAGUGGUUGGUGUUGAGGCUAGACAGAAAAGAGAAGAAAGGAAAGAAUCUCUUGUUCAAGGAUUCUUCUGAAGAUUCAGUUAUUAAGAUUGUGGAUUUUGGGUUUGCACGGUUGAUGCCUGACAAGGAAAAGGAUGGCAGCAUGAAGACACCGUGCUUCACUCUUCACUAUGCAGCGCCAGAAGUGUUGCGGCAAGCAGUGCAGAAGGGAGCAAAUGGCUAUGAUGAAACAUGUGACUGGUGGAGCUUGGGUGUGAUUCUGUACACAAUGUUGUCAGGGAGAGCCCCAUUCCAGUCAAGAAGUAAAGAUGACACCUCAGCACCAAUCAUUGAUUGCUCGGAUAAAGGAUGGAAGUUUUGACGUGUCAGGACCAGAAUAGGUCUGUCUCCUCACAGGCUAACAAACUUAUCAAAGGGUUAUUGACAGUAGAUGCUUCAAGGCGUCUCACCAUCACUGAGUUGCUGCAGGAUGAGUGGCUUCAGGGAGGCCCUCCUUAUUUAUUUUCAGCAACUCCCCUCACGACACCCACUAUACUCGCUUUUCAUGCAUUCCACAUGGCAACUAGGGAAGAAUUUUGCUUACUAGUAAGUUUGAUUGGAGUUCAUGAUAAAAAUUCAAACAUAUUGGAGUCUAAGAGGCUGUAGUGGAAGUUACUGGGGUUUUCAAGGGUGUUUUCAUGAUUCCAGUGAUAGUUUAAGAGGUUUAACAGGCUGUAGUGGAAGUUACUGGGGUUUUCAAUGGUGUUUUCAUGAUUCCGGUGAAUUUAAAAGGCUGUAUACAUUUAAUUAGAAAGAAAAAUAGUGUUUAUUACCAUGAUUAGAGAGAGAGAGAAAGUGCAUUAAUCUUUAGUAAACAAACAAGCAAAUCCUGUUAGCUGUAUAUUAAGUAAACAUUCCAUUAGUGUUUAAGAACAAAUUAUAUUAGCACAACUGAUCAAAUGUGCAGUAUCAGUAAGGCUGUAUUCCCAAACACGCCCACACCCGCUUGCCUGACUGUCAGUGUUUAAUUAAAAAGUUAUUGGGGUUUUCAAGGGCGUUUUUCAAGAAGUUAUUGGGGUUUUCAAGGGUGUUUUUCAUGGUUCUAUUGUUAAACAGGCUGUAAUGGAAGUUACUGGGGUUUUCAAGGAUGUUUUUCAUGAUUCCAGUGAUAGUUUAACAAUUAUUCUGCCUCACCAGUGGAAAACAACCGCCCCUAAUAGCCUGACCAACCGUGUGUGGCCUUGCAGAACAGAGAGAGAGAGAGAGAGAGAGAGAGAGAGGUGGGUGUUGUUUGGGAGUGCUAACCAAGAAAUGAUCUUAGUAAUGACAGAUACUUAAUCAAGUAUAUAUAUAUUUUUUGUGUGCCUUUCCCCUGUUGUAUUUGUGUUUAUUUGAGACGGGCAGGAGAAAUUGUUUACCCUCGUCUGCAAACUCUCUUCUCAGGAUGUAAUCUCACCUUACCUUAAUAAAAUGUUGAUUAUUA
Scylla paramamosain (green mud crab) is the source of this 1888-nucleotide RNA transcript. It is a transcript of the gene named ribosomal protein S6 kinase alpha-5-like, with no coding region annotated. NCBI's taxonomy places the organism in Eukaryota, Metazoa, Arthropoda, Malacostraca, Decapoda, Portunidae. The record is from RefSeq and is a predicted model, not a curated record. The transcript has 6 exons.